GUAAGAUAUAUAUGGUAUUUCUCAGGUCAUACCACCUGCUCAUAUGGCCAGUAUUGGGAACCACUGUAAUUUAACUGAGAUAUGUUUUUCUAGGUAUAAUUUCAUAGUUAAGGGGAAAGAAAGAACAUUCAGUUUAAAAGUUCUCUUUGAUUUUUCCCUGAUUAUUUGCUCCAGUCUGUAUUUAUCAUCCCUCAAAUGAUGAUGCAACAAAUUUGGGCCAAAGUGGAGGUGAAGAUGAGUAUGAAAAGCUGAACUGAAUCAGUGUGGUCUGAGCAUGGAGGAUCCACCUGAAGAUUGUUACAAAUAGGCAUAAAAAGAGAACUGGGUAGAAAAGAUCUUAGCCUGUUGAUUUUCUACGGAAAGCUUUCUGGAGAUGGUUUACCUGGUGUGAACUAGGCUGUUCUUAUCAGAGGAGGAGCUCAGGACCUUGCUGUCACUGAGAAUGGCUGCUGUUCUCAUCAGGGGAGCUCUGAUCUUCACUGUGAGCAUCACUUGCUGGCUCCAAUGUGGAUCCCUCAGCUUAGUGGCACAAGUCCUUCAUAUCACCGGCAUAGGUUAUCUGGCUUCAACCGCUGGCCUUUGGACCUUCCAGGUGCAGAUCCUUAAUACAGACAAGCAAGAGACAUUGCCUUGGGCCCUGGGCCAUGGACUGGACUCGAGGAGGACAUUGCCUUGGAUUCUAAGCUUUUAGCUGGACUUGUGUGGGAAACUUUGGGCUUCUAGUGUGUGGUUAAUCUCUUGCACUCCUUUGCAUUUGACUUUUUGUGUAAUUAUCAUAAAAUAAUCUUAGAAAUUGUGUGUCCUGUAUUUAAUUUAUUCCCUUGCCAAAUCCUG
This 834-nucleotide long non-coding RNA is filed under the name Heterocephalus glaber (naked mole-rat). Its description in RNAcentral is "lncRNA (ENSHGLG00100039007.1)". Lineage: Eukaryota; Metazoa; Chordata; Mammalia; Rodentia; Bathyergidae. The record is from RNAcentral.